UACGGGGGGAGCAAGCGUUGUUCGGAUUUACUGGGCGUAAAGGGCUCGUAGGCGGCCAACUAAGUCAGACGUGAAAUCCCUCAGCUUAACUGGGGAACUGCGUCUGAUACUGGAUGGCUUGGAUUCGGGAGAGGAAUGCGGAAUUCCAGGCGUAGCGGUGAAAUGCGUAGAUAUCUGGAGGAACACCGGUGGCGAAGGCGGCAUUCUGGACCGAUAUUGACGCUGAGGAGCGAAAGCCAGGGGAGCAAACGGG
Molecule: ribosomal RNA, 253 nt
Filed under: uncultured bacterium
Lineage: Bacteria
Description: partial 16S ribosomal RNA
Rfam family: Bacterial small subunit ribosomal RNA
Source: RNAcentral